GGUCAGCAGGCACUAAUGUGCAUUUAAACAGGAAUAAAACUAAUUAUAAGUCUUCUUUAGGUAUAUAUGGGGAUUGGUGUUGCAAGUGAUGACCAAAGGCAAAUCACUCCUAACAUAACCCCUGUCCCUUCUCCUUCAGUCAAAUAACUUGUUGAAACCCAUCAGUCUAGAUUCAACUGAUCAAUGUAGACAAGUGUCUGGCACUUAAAACAAAGUGCUCUGGUUACGUGGAGCUCAUAAUCCCUGAAAGGCAGUUCACCAAGGAGAAGGAACUCUUACAACCCCCCGGACCCCAAUAGUGAGUCAGGCUGUCCAUAUUGGAUUCAUUGAUCUUCGGUGCACAGCAAUACACUUUUCAGGACUGAAGUAAGGAGCAAAGAGUAAUUUUAAAGAAUAAAAAAAUCAAUGUCAAUACCAAAUGUUGUGCUUGGACAUCCAAUGCAUUUGAUAACUUGUCUUUUAUAAAAUGAAAUAUUACUGUGCAUAAAGAUUUAACGCAUUAAGGGACCGGUCAUUAUUUAAGGCGGGGGGUGGCACCGAAGAGAAAAGGGUUGGGUAAACAAAAUUUUGAGUAAGUAAAAGGUUGGGGAAAUAAAAAACAAAACAACUCAAGGGUUGGGUAAUAAAAAAUUAUUGUCAUUUCCAAAGCAUGACUCACUUAAAUAGUGGAGACUGAAAAGCAAUGUCAACAGUCAUAUGUAAAUACAAUAUAUGAAUCAAUCAGAGUGACUAUCUUGAUCAUUUUCCGAUUUGUUGGGAGACAGAUGGUGUCUCCAAAGAAAGUACAUGUGCAGACAACAUGAAACUUUAGACUGCAGAAAAUUGCACAAUCCGUUAUCAAACUCGUGUCACAGAAGUGGUAUUAAAAAGGACAUGUGUGACAACUGAAUGGUAUCCUUUUGUAAAGGUUUUGGCCAGGGGUGGGUAUUUAUUUUUUAAUUGAUAUUCGAAGUUGGGUAAUCAAAUUUUUGACUUUUUAUGGUUGGGUCAGCAAAAUUUUUGCCAGGAAAAAUAUUUCUCUUCGGUGCCACCCCCCACCAUACAUAAUGACCCGUCCCUAACUUGAUAAAGGCUUUUAUUUGUUAGCAAAAUUUGCUGUGGGAGAUAGAGAAAGCUUAAAAUAAAUUUGAAGGAAUUUUGAACUGCAAUUUUCUUCUUUUGGUGUAUGUGUUAGACUGAACAAUCAAGCCACGCAAAGUAAUGUUUCCUGUAAUUUUGCUAAAACACAUAUGCCAAAAGGAGAAAAUCAAAGUUUAAAAUCGCUUGUGUGAACGGGCCUUAACAGGUGUGAACUACCCAAGUUCUUUCAAAAUAUUUAAAAUGAUCCUCCCUGUCAAGGGGAGAUAAUUGCAGUAAAAUGGAUUAAUGAAUAAUAAAGUUUCCGUCAAUGAUCCCUCUAAUGCAUACCCUGGUUCCAUAAACCUCUGGUUGAAAGCUGCAAUUGAUUCAUCGAGCCGCACCAAUCAGUUUGAAUUAGGGUUGGAUGAUUGUAUUAAAG
Molecule: non-coding RNA, 1498 nt
Organism: Paramuricea clavata
Lineage: Eukaryota; Metazoa; Cnidaria; Anthozoa; Malacalcyonacea; Plexauridae
Source: the annotation of a GenBank genome assembly